AGGACGAACGCUGGCGGCGUGCUUAACACAUGCAAGUCGAGCGGAAAGGCCCUUCGGGGUACUCGAGCGGCGAACGGGUGAGUAACACGUGAGCAAUCUGCCCUUAGCUUCGGGAUAGCCCCGGGAAACCGGGAUUAAUACCGAAUACGACCUCGGCCGACAUCGGCUUUGGUGGAAAGUUUUUCGGCUAGGGAUGAACUCGCGGCCUAUCAGCUUGUUGGUGGGGUAAUGGCCUACCAAGGCGACGACGGGUAGCCGGCCUGAGAGGGCGACCGGCCACACUGGGACUGAGACACGGCCCAGACUCCUACGGGAGGCAGCAGUGGGGAAUAUUGCGCAAUGGGCGAAAGCCUGACGCAGCGACGCCGCGUGGGGGAUGAAGGCCUUCGGGUUGUAAACCCCUUUCAGCAGGGACGAAGCGAGAGUGACGGUACCUGCAGAAGAAGCGCCGGCUAACUACGCGCCAGCAGCCGC
This 474-nucleotide ribosomal RNA is filed under the name uncultured bacterium. RNAcentral's name for it is "SSU rRNA". It matches the Rfam family "Bacterial small subunit ribosomal RNA", at positions 26 to 518 of the family's 1533-position model. The record is from RNAcentral.